RNAcentral lists this ribosomal RNA (670 nucleotides) under Clonostachys candelabrum. Its description in RNAcentral is "partial large subunit ribosomal RNA". It matches the Rfam family "Eukaryotic large subunit ribosomal RNA", at positions 76 to 782 of the family's 3401-position model. The record is from RNAcentral. Lineage: Eukaryota; Fungi; Ascomycota; Sordariomycetes; Hypocreales; Bionectriaceae.
UGCCCUAGUAACGGCGAGUGAAGCGGCAACAGCUCAAAUUUGAAAUCUGGCGCAAGCCCGAGUUGUAAUUUGUAGAGGAUGUUUCUGGCGACGUACCUUCCGAGUUCCCUGGAACGGGACGCCAUAGAGGGUGAGAGCCCCGUACGGUUGGUUGCCUAGCCUCUGUGAAACUCCUUCGACGAGUCGAGUAGUUUGGGAAUGCUGCUCUAAAUGGGAGGUAUACGUCUUCUAAAGCUAAAUACCGGCCAGAGACCGAUAGCGCACAAGUAGAGUGAUCGAAAGAUGAAAAGCACUUUGAAAAGAGGGUUAAAUAGUACGUGAAAUUGUUGAAAGGGAAGCGUUUAUGACCAGACUUGGGCAGGUUGAUCAUCCGUGGUUCUCCGCGGUGCACUCUGCCUGCCCAGGCCAGCAUCAGUUCAGUUCGGGGGAUAAAGGCUUCGGGAAUGUAGCUCCCUCGGGAGUGUUAUAGACCGUUGCGUAAUACCCUGAUCUGGACUGAGGUUCGCGCUCUGCAAGGAUGCUGGCGUAAUGGUCAUCAGCGACCCGUCUUGAAACACGGACCAAGGAGUCGUCUUCGUAUGCGAGUGUUCGGGUGUCAAACCCCUACGCGUAAUGAAAGUGAACGUAGGAGAGAGCUUCGGCGCAUCUCCGACCGAUCCUGAUGUUCUCG